CUUGUGCCUCCUUCUCCCGCACCCUCAUCCCCCCCACCUUCACCUCUCCCUCCCUCGCCUUUACCCGUAUCACCACCUCUACCACCACCGCCUUCGCCCGCGCCUCCAUCACCCCUUCCUUCACCUCCACCGCCUUCGCCGACACCGCCUUCGCCCGCGCCUCCAUCACCCCUUCCUUCACCUCCACCGCCUUCGCCGACACCGCCUUCGCCCGCGCCUCCAUCACCCCUUCCUUCACCUCCACCGCCUUCGCUGACACCGC
This 262-nucleotide long non-coding RNA is filed under the name Volvox carteri. RNAcentral describes it as "long non-coding RNA (VCAR_LNC002134)". Lineage: Eukaryota; Viridiplantae; Chlorophyta; Chlorophyceae; Chlamydomonadales; Volvocaceae. The record is from RNAcentral.